RNAcentral lists this long non-coding RNA (346 nucleotides) under Piliocolobus tephrosceles (Ugandan red Colobus). Its description in RNAcentral is "lncRNA (ENSPTEG00000017601.1)". The record is from RNAcentral. Lineage: Eukaryota; Metazoa; Chordata; Mammalia; Primates; Cercopithecidae.
GUUUGUUUUUUUGUUUGUUUUUUUGUUGUUUUUUUAUUUUUUUGUUUUAUUUAUUUUGUUUUCUUUUUUGUUUUAUCCGUUUUGUUUUCUAUAUUUAUUUAUUUUGAUCGUUUAUCCAUUAUACUUACGUACUACAUACGUACAGUUUAAAAAUAAAACUUUCAUACCGCGCGUUGAAAAAAAAAAAAAAAAAAAAAAAAAAAAAAAAAAAAAAAAAAAAAAAAAAAAAAAAAAUUUAUAUUAACUUUUUUUUUUUUUUUUUUUUUUUAACCUUAUUAUUACAUCAGUGUUAUGCAAAACAUAGUUGAGUAAUAAAAUUAUGGCUAGUAACUCGCUAACUCGUUGA